RNAcentral lists this small nucleolar RNA (134 nucleotides) under Dasypus novemcinctus (nine-banded armadillo). Lineage: Eukaryota; Metazoa; Chordata; Mammalia; Cingulata; Dasypodidae. The record is from RNAcentral.
CGUGGUUCUCAUCAAAGCUGCACCUGCUUUCACAUAGUUACUAUGGUCAAAAAGAGCCCAGAAUGACAGUUUUCCUUGAGGGUUGCUGUUCUGUUUGCUCUAACUGAUCUGCAACAUUUCGGAAAAAGACAGUU